CCUCGAGGGGUGGGGGUCCUUAGCGAGCCCAACCUCCCACCCGUGUUUACUGUACCUUAGUUGCUUCGGCGGGCCCCCUUAACAUGGCCGCCGGGGGCUCUCAGCCCCGGGCCCGCGCCCGCCGGAGACACCACGAACUCUGUCUGAUCUAGUGAAGUCUGAGUUGAUUGUAUCGCAAUCAGUUAAAACUUUCAACAAUGGAUCUCUUGGUUCCGGCAUCGAUGAAGAACGCAGCGAAAUGCGAUAACUAGUGUGAAUUGCAGAAUUCCGUGAAUCAUCGAGUCUUUGAACGCACAUUGCGCCCCCUGGUAUUCCGGGGGGCAUGCCUGUCCGAGCGUCAUUGCUGCCCAUCAAGCACGGCUUGUGUGUUGGGUCGUCGUCCCCUCUCCGGGGGGGACGGGCCCCAAAGGCAGCGGCGGCACCGCGUCCGAUCCUCGAGCGUAUGGGGCUUUGUCACCCGCUCUGUAGGCCCGGCCGGCGCUUGCCGAACGCAAAUCAAUCUUUUCCAGGUUGACCUCGGAUCAGGUAGGGAUACCCGCUGAACUUAAGCAUAUCAAUAAGCGGAGGAA
Molecule: ribosomal RNA, 569 nt
Filed under: Aspergillus flavus
Lineage: Eukaryota; Fungi; Ascomycota; Eurotiomycetes; Eurotiales; Aspergillaceae
Description: eukaryotic LSU rRNA
Rfam family: 5.8S ribosomal RNA (bases 187-340)
Source: RNAcentral